CCCCCAGUGAGCUCUGCUGACCUGUGUUAGCACCCAGAAGGGACAGCGAAGGUGCGUGUGUCAGGGCAUGGCGUGCCUUGGAGUCUUACUCAGUACUUCUUUCUCCCUGCAGGCCCAUGGUUGACUCCCCAGACACUGCUGGCACGCCUGUUGGUGGUGGCAGGGAGCCCUGUUGCAGGCAGCAAUCUCCAAGCCGCUGCCUUACUGCUCCUGCAAAAGCUCCACAGCAGGAUCCACAGAGCUGUGGGGGCCAUGUGGGAUGCGGAGAUCCCCUUGCUGCUGCAGUGUGUCCAAGGGAAAGAAGAGAGCUUCCCGGACUCUGCAGCAUGGGAACACCGACUGCUAAAGUUCCUGAGGGCAUCACUGGAGACCAUGGAGGAUGAGGCUUGGACGAAGGGACUGAGCUGUGAGCUGAGCCGGUAUCUGAGCAGCUCUCCCAGCAGCUCUGGAGAAAAGGUGAGUUCCCCCCAGCUCUAUCCAGCAGAGCAGCCACAGGUGCCCAAGUGGUGGGCGGUGCUAAAGCUCAGCCCUGCAGCUGCUCUCAGCAAUUCCCAGGGAGUGUGGGUCCUUCCCACCUGGCUCUGUCUGAGCAGGUCAGGCUGCUGCCA
RNAcentral lists this long non-coding RNA (608 nucleotides) under Phasianus colchicus (ring-necked pheasant). RNAcentral's name for it is "lncRNA (ENSPCLG00000016370.1)". The record is from RNAcentral. Lineage: Eukaryota; Metazoa; Chordata; Aves; Galliformes; Phasianidae.